GUCCCUGUUGCGCAGUGGAUAGUGCGUUGGACUUCUAAUACAAAGGUCGUGGAUUCGAAUCCCACCUGGAAUG
This 73-nucleotide transfer RNA is filed under the name Trichonephila inaurata madagascariensis. It matches the Rfam family "tRNA". From Rfam's summary of the family: Transfer RNA (tRNA) molecules are approximately 80 nucleotides in length. Their secondary structure includes four short double-helical elements and three loops (D, anti-codon, and T loops). Further hydrogen bonds mediate the characteristic L-shaped molecular structure. tRNAs have two regions of fundamental functional importance: the anti-codon, which is responsible for specific mRNA codon recognition, and the 3' end, to which the tRNAs corresponding amino acid is attached (by aminoacyl-tRNA synthetases). tRNAs cope with the degeneracy of the genetic code in two manners: having more than one tRNA (with a specific anti-codon) for a particular amino acid; and 'wobble' base-pairing, i.e. permitting non-standard base-pairing at the 3rd anti-codon position. The record is from Rfam by way of RNAcentral. Lineage: Eukaryota; Metazoa; Arthropoda; Arachnida; Araneae; Nephilidae.